Molecule: long non-coding RNA, 1410 nt
Organism: Mastomys coucha (southern multimammate mouse)
Lineage: Eukaryota; Metazoa; Chordata; Mammalia; Rodentia; Muridae
Exons: 2
Source: RefSeq, a predicted model, not a curated record
UCCUGGUCCCAAGCUGCUUCAUUCUGGAGCCUGUUGCCUUCCUACACUACACCAUAGUGAUGUCACCUUGGUGACUAUUGCCACUGAAUAGCUCCACAUUCCACAGCUCAUGAACUGUUUUCACACUGGGGCUUUACACUCUCUUGUUGGCCUUUCUUCAAGUGCUGGCAGAGCUCACUAACUGGUUCUUAGGAAUUGGAAGAAUUCGAUGAAAGGUCCUUGCUCUGACCCACCUGCUACUUCUUCCAACUAGGAAGACCUUUCCCUUUUGCACUUCCACGUCUCACUGAUGUCCUCUUAUCCCUGGCUCAUUCCUGAACACUAGUGUCCUUUGCAUUCCUUGAACACUUUGCAUUCAAGGCUCUAGAGUUCAGGUGUUAGAACUAGCAAAGUCUUCUAAGACUGUGUGUUUGAGCUGCACAGUCAUUGCCACAUCAAGCCCUUAGCUGGUCUUCCUUCAAUCAGUAUAUCAAGCUUAAUAUGAAGAACAGGAAGAAACAAUGAACUGUGUCAACUUAGAUUGUGUUAGGAAUCAUGUCCUCACAAUGUUUGGGUGUACUUAUUUAUGAUUUGCUCAGGUUCUUAACCCACGUUUUGAGAGAGGAAGACCUAACUUAAGAGGUGGUUGGAGGCAAUGGGCCCUGAAUGUACCCCAUAACCAUAGAACACACUUUAAGAAAAUAACUCCUUAAAAUCAGAAAGUCACCACUUAGAGUCACCAAGUCAUAAAAGUUUCCAAUUGGAUGUAAGGCCAUUCACUGUCAUCAUAGGGCAGACCUGAAAGAGACGCAGUUGGUUAUCUUCACAAAUAUAAGGAAAUGGGGCCAAGAGUGAGUUAAUCAGAACAAGAAAAUGGAGCCCUAAACAAAUUGGGGGGGGGGGACAGAAGUAUGUUGAAAGCUCAGAAUAAGAGAAACUUUGGUGUAUGUAGCAACAGAGUGGCUGUAUUUGGUAUAUAAAAAUAAUUUCAGAACCCAAUAAAGACUCAUGGACCAGUAGAGAUUUUAAUAUGAGGUAACUGGAAAAGGGGCUAUAUGAUUAAUAUCUACAUGAAGAGCUGCUACAACACUGUGAAAUGCAAAUUGAAUUAGCCAGAGAGGUGGCUGAGUGGGUAAGGUCUUUUGCUACCUAUCCCAAUAAGCUAAGCUCCAUCCUUGGGACCCAUGUGGUCAAGAAAAGACCCAAUUCUGGCAACUUGCCCCAUGACCACCACAUACAUGCUGUGGCAUGAAAGAACACACACACACACACACACACAGGUACACAUACAUACACAUGCACACAUACACAAAUGUAAUAAUGCAAAACAUCUUUCAUGUGUGCCAAUUAAUUUUAAAUUGAUUGUUGUGUAUUUAUAAUAUUAACCUUAGAAAAUGUGAUUAUAAAAAUGAAAUAAAUCCCAGAACAUUU